UACGGAGGUGGCAAGCGUUGCUCGGAAUCACUGGGCGUAAGGGCGCGUAGGCGGGGAGGUAAGUCGGGUGUGAAAUCCCUCGGCCCAACUGAGGAACUGCGCCCGAGACUGCUUCUCUUGAGUCCCGGAGAGGAAGAUGGAAUUCCCGGUGUAGCGGUGAAAUGUGUAGAGAUCGGGAGGAACACCGGUGGCGAAGGCGGUCUUCUGGACGGUGACUGACGCUGAGGCGCGAAAGCGUGGGGAGCAAACGGG
This 252-nucleotide ribosomal RNA is filed under the name uncultured bacterium. RNAcentral's name for it is "partial 16S ribosomal RNA". It matches the Rfam family "Bacterial small subunit ribosomal RNA", at positions 524 to 776 of the family's 1533-position model. The record is from RNAcentral.